UAUAUACUUCCUCCGUCCAGAAAUACUUGUCGGAGAAAUGGAUGUAUCUAGACAUAUUUUAGUUCGAGGUACAUCCAUUUUUAUCCAUUUCUUUGACAAGUAUUUUCGGACGGAGGGAGUAGUUA
Triticum aestivum (bread wheat) is the source of this 125-nucleotide non-coding RNA. NCBI's taxonomy places the organism in Eukaryota, Viridiplantae, Streptophyta, Magnoliopsida, Poales, Poaceae. The record is from Rfam.